UGGAAUGGUGACAACAUGCUGGAGCC
This 26-nucleotide non-coding RNA is filed under the name Homo sapiens (human). The record is from RNAcentral. Lineage: Eukaryota; Metazoa; Chordata; Mammalia; Primates; Hominidae. RNAcentral also lists the same sequence under 1 other name.